CUUCUGAACAAUCAUAAGGAUGGUGCCAUUUGACAUUCGAGGGCCUGUACCAGGCCUACUAAGGAGUGAGCUGAUGUGGCUGAGAGUUUUGGAAUGUGAGGCUGGGAUGACAAGCCUGGGGCCUGGCUCUUCUGUGCUCAGUGAGGACUGCUCCAGCCUCAGCCCCAACUCCCAGCAAAGCCCAGGUAUGGGGAGCAGGGGAGGUGAGACAGAAAUGAGGAGGGACAGAAAUGUGGUUUCACACCUGACCCAGCAAUUCCUGCAGCUGGGAAGCAUGGCGACUCAGAAUGCCGAUGCCUGCCCGAGGCUUCGGCUUCUUGUCCUGCGUUUUGGAGACCAUAUCUGGAGAGGCACAGUGUGAGGGGCAUGGGGAGGCAGGAGUAGGACUGCAGCG
This 394-nucleotide long non-coding RNA is filed under the name Pan troglodytes (chimpanzee). Its description in RNAcentral is "long non-coding RNA NONPTRT003470". The record is from RNAcentral. Lineage: Eukaryota; Metazoa; Chordata; Mammalia; Primates; Hominidae.